Molecule: ribosomal RNA, 1016 nt
Filed under: uncultured bacterium
Lineage: Bacteria
Description: bacterial SSU rRNA
Rfam family: Bacterial small subunit ribosomal RNA
Source: RNAcentral
AGGAAUAUUGGUCAAUGGGCGCGAGCCUGAACCAGCCAAGUAGCGUGAAGGAUGAAGGUCCUACGGAUUGUAAACUUCUUUUAUAAGGGAAUAAAGUCACCCACGUGUGGGUGUUUGUAUGUACCUUAUGAAUAAGCAUCGGCUAACUCCGUGCCAGCAGCCGCGGUAAUACGGAGGAUGCGAGCGUUAUCCGGAUUUAUUGGGUUUAAAGGGAGCGUAGACGGGCCGUUAAGUCAGCUGUGAAAGUUUGAGGCUCAACCUUAAAAUUGCAGUUGAUACUGGAUAUCUUGAGUGCAGUUGAGGCAGGCGGAAUUCGUGGUGUAGCGGUGAAAUGCUUAGAUAUCACGAAGAACUCCGAUUGCGAAGGCAGCCUGCUAAGCUGCAACUGACAUUGAGGCUCGAAAGUGUGGGUAUCAAACAGGAUUAGAUACCCUGGUAGUCCACACGGUAAACGAUGAAUACUCGCUGUUUGCGAUAGACUGUCAGCGGCUUAGCGAAAGCGUUAAGUAUCCCACCUGGGGAGUACGCCGGCAACGGUGAAACUCAAAGGAAUUGACGGGGGCCCGCACAAGCGGAGGAACAUGUGGUUUAAUUCGAUGAUACGCGAGGAACCUUACCCGGGCUUGAAUUGCAGACGAAUUGCUUGGAAACAGGCAAGCCGCAAGGCGUCUGUGAAGGUGCUGCAUGGUUGUCGUCAGCUCGUGCCGUGAGGUGUCGGCUUAAGUGCCAUAACGAGCGCAACCCUCGUGUCCAGUUACUAGCAGGUUAUGCUGAGGACUCUGGACAGACUGCCAUCGUAAGAUGUGAGGAAGGUGGGGAUGACGUCAAAUCAGCACGGCCCUUACGUCCGGGGCUACACACGUGUUACAAUGGGGGGUACAGAGGGCCGCUACCACGCGAGUGGAUGCCAAUCCCCAAAACCUCUCUCAGUUCGGACUGGAGUCUGCAACCCGACUCCACGAAGCUGGAUUCGCUAGUAAUCGCGCAUCAGCCACGGCGCGGUGAAUACGUUCCCG